UUUAAAGGCCUAGUAUAUUUGGAUGGAAUAUUGACUUGAGAAAAUGGCUAAUUUGAUGAAUUUCGGGUUAAGAGACUAAAUUGCAAGAAUUGUAAAAGUUUUGGGUAAUUGUGUAAAUUCAAAAAAUAAAAGGUUAUUAAUUGUAAAAUGGAUUGGAAUGUGAAAUGUAAGCUGAUAAUUGAUGAAUUCUAUAUUUUAGAUUAAGAUCUGAUAGAUACUUGUGGAAAAAGAAAGAUAGUGG
This 241-nucleotide long non-coding RNA is filed under the name Gossypium barbadense (sea-island cotton). RNAcentral's name for it is "long non-coding RNA (GBAR_LNC013649)". The record is from RNAcentral. Lineage: Eukaryota; Viridiplantae; Streptophyta; Magnoliopsida; Malvales; Malvaceae.